Molecule: non-coding RNA, 2138 nt
Organism: Caretta caretta (loggerhead turtle)
Lineage: Eukaryota; Metazoa; Chordata; Testudines; Cheloniidae
Source: RefSeq, a predicted model, not a curated record
CCCUUCCGCCCACCUGCCCCCUCCUCCGCUCCGUGACCUUGGGCCUGCCGCUGCUCCUAUUGGGCUCCGGGCUCUGCCUUCUCCACGGGGAAAGGGGGGCUGGGUGAUGUCAGGAUGACGCCAUUGCUGUUGCCGUGGAGACAGGUGCCUUACAAACAUCAACUCAUUCAUUCAGGAGCUGAAUGAAAAGUAUCUCCCUCUGCUGAACAAGCAUCAAAACAGAGGAACUCCUGUGUGUGCAUCUCUUUACCUAUUGCUAUUUUGACUUACUUAACAUAGUGCCAAGUGUGUGAGAGAAGAGCUUUACAGACAUGUAUGAAGACAAGGUCCUGAGAGGAAGUGAUUUUUCUGUUCUAUGCUUGCUGUUGAUGGAUCCUACAAAGUCUUGGCCUAAAGUUUUCAAAACUAUUGCUUUAAAGUAGAACAAAUCUUGAUGGAAUAAAGAAGGACGUGACUAAGCAUUCUUCCUGUGUCACACAGAGGAAGGCGUUUUUGCUGGAAGAGAUUCUCUGCUGAAUUAAUGUACAAUAAUUAUUGUACAAAGUACAACAACAAUAUGAAACUGAGACUGAUUGAGCAGCCAAACAUAGAUAAUCCUGCAGUCUAACGUGAUCAAGUAGACAUCCUUUGUUUGCUACACCAUCAGAAUAGAGGAUUUUAAUCUGCUGUACUAGCUCUGAAGCGUCAGAGAAGUGAAAACACCCAUCAUGCCUUUCAUUGUGCAAGGUUUUCAAUAUGGAGUUGUGGGUGUAUAUGUGCAUGAAUUCCUUCCUGAUUUCACUACUCCUAUCUAGAGACAAAAGUCUGUCCUCAGUCGUGCAUCUGUAGCUGAAAUCAGUGGAAACUGAGCUUAAAAAUCUGAGAGCCUGAACCAAAGCCCAUUUAAAUCAAUGUGAAUUUUCCAUUUACUUAAUGGGACUUCAGGUCAGGCCCUGUGAGCAGAAAUUUGCUCUGCUCUGUGUGCUAAAAUGCAGAUAUUGUUAGUUACAAUUAUCAGGUCAUUUAAAAAAUCUAAAUACAGCCUUUGAUUGCAGGAGCACUUCUGUCUCAACAAACCCAGCAAUAUGGCUUUGCUUGCUUGGUCACCCAGCAGCUGGGCUGUAAUUUUUAGAUCCUUGCAGUUCUUCAUGGGAUUGACUGGAAAGGAAAGCCCCUUUCAGUCCAAUAUAUGGAGCCACCACAAGAAUAGAAAAGAAUCAGCAAUGCUAAGUAAGACUCUUACAGUUGGGUUGAUUGUGCCCAUUUAAGGACUGACUAGCCCACAAAUGUUCUGAGUGUCCAGCCUGUUGUUCAGAGUCCCCAUAGCACUGAAACAUUCACAGCCCUGGCUGUGUCACUCCUUCCUGUAAGAACUAAAAGGUAACAAGAAUCCCAUUUGGGACAGGGACUGUUACUUGCUAUAAAUUGUACAGUGAAAAACACAGUGGUGUACCAAACUUGAUACCUCUGGCAAUACUGUACAAAUAUUAAAUAAUCCUUACAAUCCAUUGUACUUCUAUGAAGAAUAAAGAUGUGAUGCUGUAGCACCUUAAAUCAAGGGAGUUCAAGUAUGUUACAAUAUUAAGUCUGACAGUUUCCCUGUGAGUUAGGCCUAUGUUAUCUGCAUUUUAUAGAGAGGCAAAGUGACUUGCCCAAGAGCCAGUAGAAAGUCACUGGCAGAGAAAGUUACAGAAACUGGGAAUCCUAUCUGCUAGUCACCUGUCCUAAUCACUAGACAAUACUGUCUCACAACACAAACUACUCAAUAAACAAUCUUGCCUAGGGAGAAAAACAGGUAAAUUCCUGUAAGUGUUCUUACUGGGUCUGGAUUUCAAGCCAAGCCAGUCCCUUGCUCUGUAAGCAUUUUCCUGACCAACAAAUGGUGUUAAAGGCCUUUUCUGGAUUAAUGCAAGCAUGUCAACAACAAUAAAAGAUGAAUGGGGAAAGAAAACACUGUACAGGAGAUACACAGAGGAAAAACAAGAUUUCCUGUAAGUGUGCUGGUUAGUUGCCUAAAAACCACUUAGUACUAAAAAAAAAAAAAAAAAAAAAAGGUAAAUUCUCAUCCUUUUCACUGACUAAUUCAGCUGAGUCCGUCAACCUAGUGCUGCAGAAUUUACAGAAGGGAAGGGGAGGAAGGAAGUCUUUUCUAGGUCAAC